This 443-nucleotide ribosomal RNA is filed under the name Klebsiella pneumoniae. RNAcentral describes it as "partial 23S ribosomal RNA". It matches the Rfam family "Bacterial large subunit ribosomal RNA", at positions 1 to 474 of the family's 2925-position model. The record is from RNAcentral. RNAcentral also lists the same sequence under 1 other name. Lineage: Bacteria; Pseudomonadati; Pseudomonadota; Gammaproteobacteria; Enterobacterales; Enterobacteriaceae.
GGGUUGUGAGGUUAAGCGACUAAGCGUACACGGUGGAUGCCCUGGCAGUCAGAGGCGAUGAAGGACGUGCUAAUCUGCGAAAAGCGUCGGUAAGGUGAUAUGAACCGUUAUAACCGGCGAUGUCCGAAUGGGGAAACCCAGUGUGAUUCGUCACACUAUCGUUAACUGAAUACAUAGGUUAACGAGGCGAACCGGGGGAACUGAAACAUCUAAGUACCCCGAGGAAAAGAAAUCAACCGAGAUUCCCCCAGUAGCGGCGAGCGAACGGGGAGCAGCCCAGAGUCUGAAUCAGCUUGUGUGUUAGUGGAACGGUCUGGAAAGUCCGACGGUACAGGGUGAUAGUCCCGUACACCAAAAUGCACAGGCUGUGAACUCGAAGAGUAGGGCGGGACACGUGGUAUCCUGUCUGAAUAUGGGGGGACCAUCCUCCAAGGCUAAAUACU